GGAAUGAUGGUGACCCAAACCCUCACCAGAGUAGCAAUUGGAGGGCAAGUCUGGUGCCAGCAGCCGCGGUAAUUCCAGCUCCAAUAGCGUAUAUUAAACUUGUUGCAGUUAAAAAGCUCGUAGUUGUAUUUUUGCGUUGGCGGUUUGACCAUUUGGUUGGUUAUUUCGUUUUCGCUUUUGGGAAUUUCCCUUUUUACUUUGAGAAAAUUAGAGUGUUUCAAGCAGACUUUUGUCUUGAAUACUUCAGCAUGGAAUAAUAGAGUAGGACUUUGGUUCUAUUUUGUUGGUUAUUGAACCUUAGUAAUGGUUAAUAGGAACGGUUGGGGGCAUUCGUAUUUAACUGUCAGAGGUGAAAUUCUUAGAUUUGUUAAAGACGAACUACUGCGAAAGCAUUUGCCAAGGACGUUUCCAUUAAUCAAGAACGAAAGUUAGGGGAUCGAAGACGAUCAGAUACCGUCGUAGUCCUAACCAUAAACUA
This 478-nucleotide ribosomal RNA is filed under the name Babesia canis canis. RNAcentral describes it as "SSU rRNA". It matches the Rfam family "Eukaryotic small subunit ribosomal RNA", at positions 511 to 1039 of the family's 1831-position model. Lineage: Eukaryota; Apicomplexa; Aconoidasida; Piroplasmida; Babesiidae. The record is from RNAcentral.